RNAcentral lists this ribosomal RNA (497 nucleotides) under uncultured bacterium. RNAcentral's name for it is "partial 16S ribosomal RNA". It matches the Rfam family "Bacterial small subunit ribosomal RNA", at positions 28 to 507 of the family's 1533-position model. The record is from RNAcentral.
GAUGAACGCUGGCGGCGUGCCUAAUACAUGCAAGUCGAGCGAACAGACGAGGAGCUUGCUCCUCUGACGUUAGCGGCGGACGGGUGAGUAACACGUGGAUAACCUACCUAUAAGACUGGGAUAACUUCGGGAAACCGGAGCUAAUACCGGAUAAUAUAUUGAACCGCAUGGUUCAAUAGUGAAAGACGGUUUUGCUGUCACUUAUAGAUGGAUCCGCGCCGCAUUAGCUAGUUGGUAAGGUAACGGCUUACCAAGGCGACGAUGCGUAGCCGACCUGAGAGGGUGAUAGGCCACACUGGAACUGAGACACGGUCCAGACUCCUACGGGAGGCAGCAGUAGGGAAUCUUCCGCAAUGGGCGAAAGCCUGACGGAGCAACGCCGCGUGAGUGAUGAAGGUCUUCGGAUCGUAAAACUCUGUUAUUAGGGAAGAACAAAUGUGUAAGUAACUAUGCACGUCUUGACGGUACCUACUCAGAAAGCCACGGCUAACUACGUG